RNAcentral lists this transfer RNA (71 nucleotides) under Planctomycetales bacterium. Its description in RNAcentral is "tRNA-Ala". It matches the Rfam family "tRNA". From Rfam's summary of the family: Transfer RNA (tRNA) molecules are approximately 80 nucleotides in length. Their secondary structure includes four short double-helical elements and three loops (D, anti-codon, and T loops). The record is from RNAcentral. Lineage: Bacteria; Pseudomonadati; Planctomycetota; Planctomycetia; Planctomycetales.
GGGACGCUGGUCUAACGGGAAGACACUUGGCUUGCAACCAGGUAAUCGGGGUUCGACUCCCCGGCGCUCCA